This 433-nucleotide ribosomal RNA is filed under the name uncultured bacterium. Its description in RNAcentral is "partial 16S ribosomal RNA". It matches the Rfam family "Bacterial small subunit ribosomal RNA", at positions 29 to 507 of the family's 1533-position model. The record is from RNAcentral.
AACGAACGCUGGCGGCAUGCCUAACACAUGCAAGUCGAACGAGACCUUCGGGUCUAGUGGCGCACGGGUGCGUACCGCGUGGGAACCUGCCCUUAGGUUCGCUAUAACUGCCCGAAAGGGGUCCUAAUACCGGAUAAUGUCUUACGACCUAAGAUUUCUCGCGUUUGGAUGGGCCCGCGUUGGAUUCGGUGGUUGGUAGGGUAAUAGCCUACCAUGGCGAGGUUCCAUAGCUGGUCUGAGAGGAGGACACACCACACUGGAGCUGAGACCCGGCCUAGAAUCCGACGGAAGGCAGGAGUGGAGAACAUUGGACGAGGGGGGAAGACGUAGUCCAGCAAUGCCGGGGAAGAGGGGAAGCCGUUAGGGUUGUAAAGUCGUUUGUCCCGAAGUGAUAAUGACGGUACUGGGUAAAUAAGCUCCGGCUAACUCCGUG